GAAGAGGGAAACAACCCAGACCGCCAGCUAAGGUCCCAAAGUCAUGGUUAAGUGGGAAACGAUGUGGGAAGGCCCAGACAGCCAGGAUGUUGGCUUAGAAGCAGCCAUCAUUUAAAGAAAGCGUAAUAGCUCACUGGUCGAGUCGGCCUGCGCGGAAGAUGUAACGGGGCUAAACCAUGCACCGAAGCUGCGGCAGCGACGCUGAUGCGUUGUUGGGUAGGGGAGCGUUCUGUAAGCCUGCGAAGGUGUGCUGUGAGGCAUGCUGGAGGUAUCAGAAGUGCGAAUGCUGACAUAAGUAACGAUAAAGCGGGUGAAAAGCCCGCUCGCCGGAAGACCAAGGGUUCCUGUCCAACGUUAAUCGGGGCAGGGUGAGUCGACCCCUAAGGCGAGGCCGAAAGGCGUAGUCGAUGGGAAACAGGUUAAUAUUCCUGUACUUGGUGUUACUGCGAAGGGGGGACGGAGAAGGCUAUGUUGGCCGGGCGACGGUUGUCCCGGUUUAAGCGUGUAGGCUGGUUUUCCAGGCAAAUCCGGAAAAUCAAGGCUGAGGCGUGAUGACGAGGCACUGCGGUGCUGAAGCAACAAAUGCCCUGCUUCCAGGAAAAGCCUCUAAGCAUCAGGUAACAUCAAAUCGUACCCCAAACCGACACAGGUGGUCAGGUAGAGAAUACCAAGGCGCUUGAGAGAACUCGGGUGAAGGAACUAGGCAAAAUGGUGCCGUAACUUCGGGAGAAGGCACGCUGAUAUGUAGGUGAAGUCCCUCGCGGAUGGAGCUGAAAUCAGUCGAAGAUACCAGCUGGCUGCAACUGUUUAUUAAAAACACAGCACUGUGCAAACACGAAAGUGGACGUAUACGGUGUGACGCCUGCCCGGUGCCGGAAGGUUAAUUGAUGGGGUUAGCGCAAGCGAAGCUCUUGAUCGAAGCCCCGGUAAACGGCGG
Molecule: ribosomal RNA, 937 nt
Filed under: Escherichia coli
Lineage: Bacteria; Pseudomonadati; Pseudomonadota; Gammaproteobacteria; Enterobacterales; Enterobacteriaceae
Description: partial 23S ribosomal RNA
Rfam family: Bacterial large subunit ribosomal RNA
Source: RNAcentral